This 329-nucleotide unclassified non-coding RNA is filed under the name soil metagenome. Its description in RNAcentral is "partial contains 5.8S ribosomal RNA, internal transcribed spacer 2, and large subunit ribosomal RNA". The stretch from base 1 to 120 matches the Rfam family "5.8S ribosomal RNA", at positions 35 to 154 of the family's 154-position model. The record is from RNAcentral.
GAUGAAGAACGUAGCGAAAUGCGAUAAGUAAUGUGAAUUGCAGAAUUCAGUGAAUCAUCGAAUCUUUGAACGCACAUUGCGCCCCCUGGUAUUCCGGGGGGCAUGCCUGUCCGAGCGUCAUUACAACCCUCAAGCUCAGCUUGGUGUUGGGCCCCGCCGCCCCGGCGGGCCCUAAAGUCAGUGGCGGCGCCGUCCGGCUCCGAGCGUAGUAAUUCUUCUCGCUCUGGAGGUCCGGUCGUGUGCUCGCCAGCAACCCCCAAUUUUUUUCAGGUUGACCUCGGAUCAGGUAGGGAUACCCGCUGAACUUAAGCAUAUCAAUAAGCGGAGGA